CAUUUAAGGCUACCCUGUACUCAUGCGACCUCUCUUUCUCUUUCUCCUUCUUCUUCUUCUUCUUUUCUCUUCUAGAAAUUUCCACGGCCAUAAAUACUCCGAGAGGCGCAUCAAAUCCUUCCAGAACCUCGUGGAGCCUCUUCUCCCAUUAUCUUCCAAUAAAGCCCUAAACGAAAAAAAAAAAAGGAAGAAGCUCCUCCUCCUCGUCGUUUUCGUUAUUCUCGGAGAAAAAAGGAAGAAAUUUAUAAAAAAAAGCUCAUUCUUUUCCUCUCCUUUUUGGGUUCCUUUUUAGGAGGGCUUUUUCUAGGGUUCGCGAUCUCGCCACGACCAGGUCAAUCCCGCUCCGAUCGACGCUUCUGCUGCUCCAAUUCGAGGCGGAUCGAUCGAGGUUUCGGGCCUUCGCGGCGGAUUCCGCGAUGCGUUGGGAUUGAUCGGGGGGGUGCUAGGGUUUGCGUGGGGGAGGGGGACAUGGAGGGGUCGCCGGGGAGCUCGAAUUCGCCGCCUCCUUUCCUCACGAAGACGUAUGACAUGGUGGAUGAUCCCUCCACGGACUCCAUUGUUUCGUGGGGGUUGAACAAUACCAGCUUCGUUGUUUGGAAUCCGCGGGGUUUUGAAAAGGAUUUGCUCCCCAAAUACUUCAAGCACAACAAUUUCUCCAGCUUCGUGAGGCAGCUUAAUACUUAUGGUUUCCAUAAAAUAGAUCCUGAUCAGUGGGAAUUCGCAAAUGAAGACUUCAUAAGGGGACAAAGGCACCUAUUAAAAAAUAUCCAUAGGCGCAAACCCGUCCACAGCCAUUCGUUGCACAACCAAGGGAAUGGGCCAUUGGCCGAACCGGAAAGACAAGAACUCGAGGAGGAGAUCGAGAAACUCAAGCACGAGAAGGGUCUGCUCAUACAAGAGCUCCAGAAGCACACACAACAGCAGCAUGGGAUGGACCAGCAAAUGCAGUCUUUAGAGGAGAGGUUGCAAGUCAUGGAACAACGCCAAAGAAAUCUAAUGGGUUCGUUGAGCCAAAUAGUUCAGACACCCGGCUUUCUGUCUAAAUUUGUUCAGAAACCCGACCAUUUUGGUAAGAAGAGGAGGCUACCGAAAAGUAACUUCUUCUACGAGGAUGCCAAUAUGGAAGAAAACAGAAUUGCACCUUUGCAGGUGGUAAAUAAAGAGAGAUCGGAUGUAUUUGCUACGCAUGCAUUGGACACUGAGCCCUUCGAUAAGAUGGAAUCAUCCUUAAACUCCUUAGAAAUUUUUUUCCGAGGGGUGAGUCAAGCUUUGGGGGAAGAAGACAUGUGUUAUGACGGUUUUGUCCCUGGCCCCCCUUCUACUCUAGUUCUUGUGGAGAUGGAUGCAUCAUCUGGUGAGACUGAUGUGAAUAUGCACUCACCGCCCAAGUUGCGUUCUUCUUCACCUUGUAUAGGUGAUAUCCAUUCAUCACCUGAGCUGGCGGAAUCCACUAAUUAUGCUGAAAGCCCUGCUCUUCCUUUGACAGAAAUUCAUGUGGUGGAAACUCAUGCAGAUAAUCAAAGCAAGAUUGUCGAAAUAGACGUGAACUCUGAACCUACAGUUGCUGAAGGAGAUUCAACGAGGGAGAAACCCAAUACUGCAGCCUCUGCUGUGCCAACUGGCGUAAAUGAUGUAUUCUGGGAACAGUUUCUUACUGAGACACCUGGUUCGAUUGAUGCACAAGAGGUCCAAUCGGAAAGAAGAGACGCUGAUGAAAAGAGAAAUGGAGGAAAGGUUGUGGGAAUGGGGCAGAAUUGGUGGAAAAAGAAGAAUGUCGAUCACCUCACAGAGAAAAUGGGACAUCUCAGUUCAUCUGAAAAGACAUAAAAUUGUUUCUUCUUGAGCUCAGAAUAUUGGUGGAAAUUUUCGUUACUCGGCUAUGAGUGCAGGAGUAUUCCGAAUCUUGAAUUUGUACCUAUGCCCACAUUGUUCAAAGAAGUUGAUUUGAUUGAUUGUCGCGAGUAUUGAUGGAUCAUCCAGGAUUGUCCUGUUACUCUUUUUGUGCAUAGGCUGGUUGUUUCCAUCUAGAUUUAUUCAGCUAUUCUAAUAAGUUACCAUCAGAUAUGGGUUCCAGGGGGGUAAGAUGGUACAGUUAAUUACAGAUUUUGUGAUGAAACUACUGUAAGCUCCUUGAAUAUGUUGAUUGCUGUUUGGUCAUAUAUAUAACGUAGUUAAAAGCUCACUACUUUGUUUACCUUUGUCUAGUUUGUGAAGUACUGUACUAAAGCAAAAACGCUUGAAUGGGUCAUUGUAGACAGAGUAUGUUGUAAGUUGUAACACGUGCAUUGCAACUUUGUAAA
Ananas comosus (pineapple) is the source of this 2300-nucleotide RNA transcript. It is a transcript of the gene named heat stress transcription factor A-4b, with no coding region annotated. The transcript has 3 exons. The record is from RefSeq and is a predicted model, not a curated record. Lineage: Eukaryota; Viridiplantae; Streptophyta; Magnoliopsida; Poales; Bromeliaceae.